UACGAAGGGUGCAAACGUUGCUCGGAAUUAUUGGGCGUAAAGCGCACGUAGGCGGCUUAGCAAGUCGGAAGUGAAAUCCCUCGGCUCAACCAAGGAAGUGCUUUCGAAACUGCUGAGCUUGAGUACUUAAGAGGAUCGCGGAAUUCCCGGUGUAGAGGUGAAAUGCGUAGAGAUCCGGAGGAACACCAGUGGCGAAGGCGACACACUGGGCCGUACCUGACACUAAGACGCGACAGCAUGGGGAGCGAACAGG
RNAcentral lists this ribosomal RNA (253 nucleotides) under uncultured bacterium. RNAcentral's name for it is "partial 16S ribosomal RNA". It matches the Rfam family "Bacterial small subunit ribosomal RNA", at positions 524 to 776 of the family's 1533-position model. The record is from RNAcentral.